Molecule: ribosomal RNA, 202 nt
Filed under: uncultured bacterium
Lineage: Bacteria
Description: partial 16S ribosomal RNA
Rfam family: Bacterial small subunit ribosomal RNA
Source: RNAcentral
UACGAAGGGUGCAAACGUUGCUCGGAAUUAUUGGGCGUAAAGCGCACGUAGGCGGCUUUGUAAGUCGGAUGUGAAAUCCCUCGGCUUAACCAAGGAAGUGCAUCCGAAACUACAGAGCUUGAGUACUUAAGAGGAUCGCGGAAUUCCCGGUGUAGAGGUGAAAGUUCGUAGAUAUCGGGAGGAACACCAGUGGCAGAAGGCG